RNAcentral lists this long non-coding RNA (574 nucleotides) under Zea mays. RNAcentral describes it as "drought responsive lncRNA". The record is from RNAcentral. Lineage: Eukaryota; Viridiplantae; Streptophyta; Magnoliopsida; Poales; Poaceae.
UGAGUAACAUGACUUGUGGGUAAAGACGCGCAACCUCUGAAGAGUGUAAAACUGGUAUAUCAGCCGUGCUCACGGUCAUGAGCAGCUCGAACCCUCAGAUGAUUAAUUUAUGGAAUUAAAUUCAAUUUGUCAUAUGCAUUGCAUUGAGGGUGUUGUUAUCAUUUUUGUUCUACUACUUAAUUGGGUUGGUAUUUACUUAUACUUAGCAAUUGCUAAUAAAAUUUUGACCAACUUUAAAAGCAAUGCUCAGCUCUAACCAUCCUCUUUGGUUAGCCUUACACUUCACAUGAGCUCCACCUUUGGCGAGUUCAUGCACAUUAUUCUCCACAACUUGUUGAGCGAUGAACGUAUGUGAGCUCACUCUUGCUGCCUCACACCCCCCACAGGUUAAGAACAGGUACCGCAAGAUGAGGCGCAUGGAGGAUGCCAUGACGAGGUCGUGAGAGGUCUAGGUCGUCGUCUCCCAGUCAACUUUGGAUUGCUGGAUCGUUGUCUCCAUAUGAUGUAAUUAUUUAUUUAUUUUGUACAGAACUCCUAUUAUAUAGUAAAGAUGUGACAUUCGUUUCUGUACCGC